CGAACGCUGGCGGCGUGCUUACCACAUGCACGUCGACCGGAAAGGCCCCUUUGGGGGUCCUCGAGUGGCGAACGGGUGAGUAACACGUGAGUAACCUGCCCUUGACUUCGGGAUAACUUCAGGAAACUGGGGCUAAUACCGGAUAGGAAUCCUUGCUGCAUGGUGGGGGUUGGAAAGCUUCGGCGGUUUUGGAUGGACUCGCGGCUUAUCAGCUUGUUGGUGGGGUAGUGGCUUACCAAGGCUUUGACGGGUAGCCGGCCUGAGAGGGCGACCGGCCACAUUGGGACUGAGAUACGGCCCAGACUCCUACGGGAGGCAGCAGUGGGGAAUAUUGCACAAUGGGCGGAAGCCUGAUGCAGCAACGCCGCGUGCGGGAUGACGGCCUUCGGGUUGUAAACCGCUUUCAGCAGGGGCGAAGCUUGUGGUGACGGUACCUGCAGAAGAAGCACCGGCUAACUACGUG
This 463-nucleotide ribosomal RNA is filed under the name uncultured bacterium. Its description in RNAcentral is "partial 16S ribosomal RNA". It matches the Rfam family "Bacterial small subunit ribosomal RNA", at positions 30 to 507 of the family's 1533-position model. The record is from RNAcentral.